RNAcentral lists this small RNA (599 nucleotides) under Pan troglodytes (chimpanzee). RNAcentral describes it as "retained intron". The record is from RNAcentral. Lineage: Eukaryota; Metazoa; Chordata; Mammalia; Primates; Hominidae.
UUUUUGGCGCUACAGUUGCUGCUGGAGGAUGUGGUCCGGCUGCGGGGGUCCUCACGGCGCACCGAGGCGAGGCGCUCUGGUGACAAGUAGCGGCGGACACUGCUAAAAGAGAGCACACAGGUCUUGGAAGAGGCUGGGGGUCCCGGCCUUGUGCCUUACCUGCGCCCGGAGGUCGCCUCCUUCUUGGGAGAGGAUGGGGACGUGGCAUAGCCACCCACGCGCCGCGGGGGUCCCGAGCCAUUAAGGGGCGUCCUGGUGGGAAGGCCUUUCAAGAGCUGACACACUGGAGGGAUGGGGUUAGGGGACAGAAGAGGGUGAGUAUGAGGACCAGGCCCCGGUCCUCCCCAUCCCACCCCUCCAGUCUAACGGGGAUACCCGAGGCAGUGGUGCCUAAGCGCGGAGGCGCCCGGCCCUUGGGGGUGCCCCGCGCGCGUAGCGCCGCUCCCUGUUCUUCGCAUGCCCGCAGGCGACGCAGAGCAUCCGCCAGCGCCGCCUUUAGGACCGCCAGCUCGUCUUCCUGUAACUGCAGCCGCUGCUCCAGCGCCGACACGCGGUCGUCCACUUCCAUACCGCUCGUGCCCGACAAAUUGUCAUCUGGA